Molecule: long non-coding RNA, 2029 nt
Organism: Xiphophorus couchianus (Monterrey platyfish)
Lineage: Eukaryota; Metazoa; Chordata; Actinopteri; Cyprinodontiformes; Poeciliidae
Exons: 2
Source: RefSeq, a predicted model, not a curated record
UGCGUAUCGCUGCACAUAUUUAAUGAGCACAAGCUGCCGGUCUGUGUAUCAUUUCACUAUAAAUGGUUCACUAUUUAGCGGCACUGAAGUAAAAGUGCUGAGCAAACCUUAUCAGGGGGAAAGUGAGAGAAAACGGAGGGAGAUAAGGCGCUGGAUGGUUGGGGGCAGGGCGGCUCAAAUCGCCCAGCUCAAUAUCUGACUGGCUGCAGAUUAAAAAUGAAAAAGAAAAACAGAAGAGCGCUCUGAAAUCCACCGUGAGAGAGUCAGAUGUGAGGAUAAAGGGGCAAACUGCUUGAGAAAAAGCAGCAGAAUAAAGCCGAGCAGGAUUUAAACAUGGAAGAGACGCAGCUGGAUCCGAAAAGAACGAGGUGCGCCGUCUCACUGACUGAUACUGGAAAUCAAUGUGAGCCUUUAAACGAAUCAGUAGGAGCAGAUAAGUUAUCCUGUUCAGGUCGAUAUUUAUUAGACCGAUCCACUGAAACAUGUAGAUACAGAUUAGUGGUGUUUUACAUCAUUUCCUAAUGUUUUGAAGCAGUCUUUUUUUAGAGUCCACUAGUGUAAACAGGUUUACAUGGACAACAUGUAAACAACAGCCAUCGCCAUUUACAAUAACUCUUUAAAGAAUUUUAAUUAAUAUGAGCUACAACAUUUAAUUUCAAUUUGGGAUCAAUAGAGUAUUUUUGAAUUUGACUGAUUUAAACAGGAGAAAGGUCAAAAGCAGAAGAGGAGAGAUAGAUUAAGAUAAAAAAAUGCUCUAACAAAGAGCUUGAUAAUAAAUAAAUAGCAAAAUACAUAAAUCAAUCUCAAUAGAUAAAACAUCGGAUAAAAUAUUCAACAUAUGGAAUAUCUACUGAGCUCUGAUCCUGAAAUCUGGAAUCAACUCACUCUCUCACUCUUUGGUUGCCUAGCAACAACCCACUGGGCAGCAGUUCAAGCACCCCCUAACUUCGGUUACCUAGCAACGAAUUCCGCUGAGCAACUGACACAGUAGCAGUUUAAAGUUCCACCACUUUUCCUCAUAACUGCUUACAAAUUUUUAAAAAACAACGACAACGAAGAGGGAAAACUGGAUGAAAGAGGAAAGGUCAGACCCCUAGUCUGGUAAUCUGAGCGGGGCUUUGAUCCUAAUUCUUCCCCACGUGCCGUCAUCAGUCAGAGUUCAGACAAAGACUUCUCUAAAUGCAGAUCCACGGAGAAGAAGAGGCUAGAUGAAGUCCUGUCACCUCUGAUGUGCUUCAAAAAUACCUCCAACAAGCAUCAAAGCAGCUUCAGUCUUUAUUAAACUCCCACCGCACCCUUCACAUCUGCUCAGUCCAGCUGUACUUUCACUAAUUAAUCCCUACCUUCUUCAUUCAUGAUCUCAUGUCGCAGCUUUUUAUCCAUGAUUCCUUAAUCCUGACGUGUGUUUGAACAUGGAGCAGAAAGAUUUGGUAAAAACAAAAAGAAAUCAUUCUUAAAGGUGGCAGGUUAGGUCUGUGGUAUGUUCAUUACAUUUUUUGCACUAAAUUAUUCUGAGAUAAUGAGAUUUUAUUCUGCUCAGCUCUGAUCAUUUUGAGCUGUUUUAGGGUGCCUUGUCACUUUAAAUCCUAAUAAGCUGCUGCUGCUGGCCACGCCCCCCCAACUCAAUGUUUGCAUCGCACAUGAAAAUGGCUGCAAACAGGUUCGUAAUUAUACAACCCUACAUCUUUGAAAAGCAGAAGUGGAGCCUCCUACACAACCAACAAGAAUGUAGCAAAAGGUUUCUGGAUGGUAAGUCAACUAAAAAACGUUUGUUUUUUCCAGCAACCAUUGUAUAGCACAUACAGCUAAGCCUGUCACAACAACAAAUUUUGCUGGACAAUAAAUCGUCCCAGAAGUUAUUGUGAUAAACAAUAAUAUUGUUGUUUUCAGACCAUGUUCAAGUAAUAUAAUGGUAGUAAUGCAAGAACACCUAUUCAAAGAUCAAUAAAUUUACAAUUCUAAUGAGCAUUUAACACUGAGACUGGAAGACAUUUUAAGUAUCCAAAAUAAAUAAACAAAACAACAGAAA